CGGCCACUGAAAUCAAGCGGUCCUCUCCGCCAGCAGAGGGCACUCUCGCUCCAUCAUACGACAUGCCCAUCUCCAUCGCAGGCAUCCCGGACAGCAUCUUCCAGCGGAUCCGUGCCCAAUGCGCCCCUCCAGUCCUGUUCCUGUUUGCACACUAUCUGAACUCCGCUGAGGCAGCGACCGACUUACCAAGGAGCAUCACUUCCGGGAAGCCGCCCUGCUCAUCGCUCGGAAGCCUGCACUGCGCGAGGCCCUGGGUUUCAUUGAACCCCCGUCAGAGCCUGCGCCCGUUCCAGCGUCUAAGCCUGCACCACUGGCCCCAGCGUCUAAGCCUGCACCACUGGCCCCAGCGUCUAAGCCUGCACCACUGGCCCCAGCGUCUAAGCCUGCACCACUGGCCCCAGCGUCUAAGCCUGCACCACUGGCCCCAGCGUCUCUGGCUGCAGCGUCUCCUGCGUCUCUGGCUGCAGCGUCUCCUGCGUCUCUGGCUGCAGCAACUCCUGCCCUAGCCUCACCUCAGCCAUGCCAAGCUCCAGCUCCAGCUCACGCCUCACCUCAGCCAUGCCAAGCUCCAGCUCCAGCUCACGCCUCACCUCAGCCAUGCCAAGCUCAAGCUCCAGCUCAAGCCUCAGCUCAGCCACGUCAGGCUCAAGCCUCAGCUCAGCCACGUCAAGCUCAAGCCUCAGCUCAGCCACGUCAAGCUCAGGCCUCAACUCAGCCACGUCAGGCUCAGGCCUCAGCUCAGUCACGUCAAGUUCAAGCCCCAGCUCCAGCUCAAGCUCAAGCCUCGGCUCCGCCACGCCAAGCUCAAGCUCCAUCUUUACGCCAGCUAGCGGACACCCCUGGCCAGUCACACCAGGCCUCAGUUCCUGUUCCUGUCGGCCAUAUUGAGGCCGUCCAUGUUCCUGUUCCUGUCGGCCAUAUUGAGGCCGUCCCUGUUCCUGUCGGCCAUAUUGAGGCCGUCCCUGUUCCUGUUCCUGUCGGCCAUAUUGAGGCCGUUCCUGUUCCUGUCGGCCAUAUUGAGGCCGUUCCUGUUCCUGUCGGCCAUAUUGAGGCCGUUCCUGUUCCUGUUCCUGACGGCCAUAUUGGGGCCGUUCCUGUUCCUGUCGGCCAUAUUGGGGCCGUUCCUGUUCCUGUCGGCCAUAUUGGGGCCGUUCCUGUUCCUGUCGGCCAUAUUGGGGCCGUUCCUGUUCCUGUCGGCCAUAUUGAGGCCGUUCCUGUUCCUGUUCCUGUCGGCCAUAUUGAGGCCGUUCCUGUUCCUGUUCCUGUCGGCCAAGUAGCGGCCGUUCCUGUUCCUGUUCCUGUCGGCCAAGUAGCGGCCGUUCCUGUUCCUGUUCCUGUCGGCCAUAUUGAGGCCGUUCCUGUCGGCCAAGUAGAGGCCGUUCCAGUCCCUGUUCCUGUCGGCCCUGUAGCUGCCGUUCCUGCCGGCCAAGUAGAGGCCGUUCCAGUCCCUGUUCCUGUCGGCCCUGUAGCUGCCG
This 1475-nucleotide long non-coding RNA is filed under the name Betta splendens (Siamese fighting fish). RNAcentral's name for it is "lncRNA (ENSBSLG00000015306.1)". The record is from RNAcentral. Lineage: Eukaryota; Metazoa; Chordata; Actinopteri; Anabantiformes; Osphronemidae.